GCAUCUGUAGUGUAGGGGUUAUCAUCCCAGCCUUCCAAGCUGGGGACUCGGGUUCGAGUCCCGACAGAUGCA
This 72-nucleotide transfer RNA is filed under the name Colletotrichum higginsianum. RNAcentral's name for it is "tRNA-Gly". It matches the Rfam family "tRNA". From Rfam's summary of the family: Transfer RNA (tRNA) molecules are approximately 80 nucleotides in length. Their secondary structure includes four short double-helical elements and three loops (D, anti-codon, and T loops). The record is from RNAcentral. Lineage: Eukaryota; Fungi; Ascomycota; Sordariomycetes; Glomerellales; Glomerellaceae.